GGUUCCGGGUCCUCAGGACCAGCAUGGAGGAGCUGGCAGUAUGGCGUGCUUUGGUGAGAGCUAGGCAUGCUUGUUAGUUUUCUGGAGUCUUGAAACACAUGCUGCUUCCAAAUGCUGCCUUUAAAAGGAGUUCUGGAGCUAUGCCCAGAGGCAUAAAGAACACAUAUGUGCAUGGGAGUAAGCAUGUUCACCACGUGGAGCGAAGCAUGCAGACACCAUGAAUGCAGAGGGUUGGGGUGCGGAAGCUCUUUGUCCUUUCAAUGUCUCUCCUUCAUGCAGGAAAGAGGGACAGUCACCCAGAGGCAAGUUCAUGGGCUGUCUAUGGGUCACGGGAGAAGCAACCUCUCUCUGGGGAUUAACUGAGCUGCAUAAAUGUCUGGGGCACUCAAGCAGCCUCACACCUCUACCAACAGAGCCUUCCUUGCUGUGGUGAGGGGGUUCCAGCCCAGGAAUAGGGGCUGUUUCCAGUUAUUCUGAAACGCCAGAGGUCCUGGAACAUUUGCCCUCGGGGGGGGGAGAGGAUGAAGGUUCCAGAAAGGCAUGAUGGACUUUCCUUGCGCCCUCGGCCUCAGACCCCAGUGACGGCGUGGAGGUGUCGGAGGGCAUCUUUAAAAUAUUGCAUUAUUUAAAAAGAUUUACUUCUUUGUAUGUCUAGCCUGGAGAGCAGAUUAACCAAACACAGACCCGUGUGGGAGUAGGCUCAGCAAAGAAUGAUUGUGCCAGACCCAACAACUGCGCUUGAAAGCCAUCUCCCACCUUAACUUCUAGCCUGGACAGGGGCCACUUGACGCUGUUCAAGCUUUGCCUGUAAACGGCACCCGUGAACCCUCGCCUUGCCUGAAGCAUCUGUCAUGCGAGUCAGGCCUGCAGCUCACAGAGGGCUUCCAGAAGAAAUGUGCAUGUGUUCGGGAGGAAGGAACAUAGCACCACCACACAGCGAAAGUUCUCCAAUCCGUGGCUCUGAUGAGCAGCGCCAGAACGUCUCCCAAUUUGCUUUCUGUUUUGUUUCUCACAUUUUUUUUUUCUGUUUUAAAUUGUUUUCUAAAAA
Myodes glareolus (Bank vole) is the source of this 1048-nucleotide long non-coding RNA. RefSeq lists it as uncharacterized. NCBI's taxonomy places the organism in Eukaryota, Metazoa, Chordata, Mammalia, Rodentia, Cricetidae. The record is from RefSeq and is a predicted model, not a curated record.